This 318-nucleotide ribosomal RNA is filed under the name uncultured eukaryote. RNAcentral describes it as "partial 18S ribosomal RNA". It matches the Rfam family "Eukaryotic small subunit ribosomal RNA", at positions 1470 to 1796 of the family's 1831-position model. The record is from RNAcentral.
CCCUUAGAUGUCCUGGGUCGCACGCGUGCUACACUGACGCAUACAGCGAGCACUUUCCAGUUCCGAGAGGCUACUGGUAAUCAUCAAUAUGCGUCGUGAUGGGGAUAGAUCUUUGGAAUUCUGGAUCUUGAACGAGGAAUGCCUAGUAAUCGCAGGUCAUUAGCCUGCGAUGAUUAAGUCCCUGCCCUUUGUACACACCGCCCGUCGCUACUACCGAUUUCGAGUGGUCAGGUGAAUCUUUCGGACUGUGGGCGCCCUUGAGGUGUUCGCGGAAAGUCAGGUAAAUCUUAUCACUUAGAGGAAGUAAAAGUCGUAACA